RNAcentral lists this long non-coding RNA (23754 nucleotides) under Fragaria vesca (wild strawberry). RNAcentral's name for it is "long non-coding RNA (FVES_LNC002155)". The record is from RNAcentral. Lineage: Eukaryota; Viridiplantae; Streptophyta; Magnoliopsida; Rosales; Rosaceae.
UUUUUUUUUUUUUUUUUCUGAGAUUUGGCAGUGACUCUGCUAGCUUGAGAAAUGUAUGUAUUAUUCGAAUAUUAAACUUUAAAUUCAUUAAAAGAUUCGGCUGAAGCCCUUCUCAGGGUUCAGACUAAGAAACAAGAUUUCUGUCUUGGAGUUGGGCUAAGGAUGUUAGUAUUGUCAAGCACAACAUCAGAUAUUCAGAUAGUAACUCUCAACAGCCUAAAUAAGUUUUCAUUAACAGCACCAAUAUCCAUUUAUCUGUCAGUACCUACAGCAGUUCAGUUUUAAAUACAUGGAAAAAUUCCGGUACCCGACACAUUUUACAAAAUAAAGUUACAUUCUGACCGAUUUUAUAACUACAGCACAAGAGACAUACAGCUAAGUGAGCUAACAGGUUUCUAAGAGUAUAAAGGACUGGAGGCUGUCAAAUAUUACACAAAGGAGCUACCUUUCGUUCAGGACUUCACCUUUCCAUGAAACUCCUUGUUGCAUCCUAAGCAAGGGUUCUGUGCACCAACCCCACUCCAAUUUGGUAGGCCUACAUUUCCUGAGGGCGAGAAUGAAGUAUUCACGGAUAAAUGUUGACAGGAACCAACACCACUGCCACCUGAAAUUCUCAAAUUUCCCGCAGGCAGAAAUGAAGAACUCAUGGAUAACUGUUGGCCGAAUCCCACCCCAUUGCAAUCUGACACACUCACAUUUCCGGCAGGUGGCAAAGUAGUAUUCAUGGGAAAUAGUUGGCCCGAGGUAGAUUGUUCUGGUGCAUUGAACUGAGGGGAUAUGUCACUUGGGAAAAAGUUAGGUGAGCCAAAAUCUGGCAGUGCCAUGCUAUCUCUCUGGUUGUGAGAGGUGACAAGGUUUUCCUCAAAGUAACCCUGAAACAAAUCAUCAUCUAUCGGAAUUUCACCGGUAAGGGUCUUAAAUGCAAAGUCAAGGCAUGGAUCAGACCAAGUAUCCAGAAAAGGGAAUGAAAACUGUGACACUGGAUUCUCGACAGCUGCCUUCUCAAUUUCCAACUGCCGGGGUUUCUCCUCAGGAACAGCUUGGUCCUUGAGAGAUCUCUCAAUCUUGUUCAAUGGUUCCUCAUCAAUUGAAGGACUUACAGUAGUACACGAAUCAUGAGCAACCUUGUUCUCUUGACCAGCCUCAAACUGUUGAGGUGCUUCAUGUGCAGAAUCUACAGCUUGGAGCGGUUUACUUCUACAAGACUUUGCUGUUGCAUUUCGAAGAACUGUUUCACUGGACAAUGGUUUGGCUAGCAGCUCAGGUUCAACCCCAGCCAGCCGUUUCGAAGUCCGACGAGGCAACUUUAGUUCUUUAGUUUUCUUAGAUUUGUUUGAACUUUGCCUUGUUUUCCUACUGCAGCUCCCAUUUUCAAGUGAGUUCUCUUUUUGCACAGUAUCAGCUGCAGCUUUCAGAAAAGGUUCUUUAUCCACACCAUCAGCUAUCGGCAAUUCCCCAGUAAGGGUUUUGAAGGCGAAUUCUAAGCAUGGGUCGGACCCGAACAGUAAGGAGAGCUCUGGUCCGGGCUUCUCACCUAACAUGUUCUCAGCUUCCAGUCUAUGAUGUUGCUCUUCAGGAAUUGCUUUGUCACCAAGAAACGUCUUUCCCUUGUUUGAUGACUCUCCAUGUGCAGUAGAGUUUAUGUCAGUUAACAUAUCAUGUAAAGCCUCUGGUUCUAAUGCAGCCCCAAGUUGCAGAGAUACUCCAUUGAUAUUAUCAUCUGAAGUGAAACCCAUUUCUUGGUUGGCAUCAGCUCUACUUGACUUUCCAGUUGCAAGGUGAAGAGUUUGAUCAUUGGAAACCAAAGUAUCUACAGGCAGUAGUUCAAGACUAUCAAAUGGCCUCUUGACCUCACUCAAUGACUCUCCUUGUACUGUAGAUACUAUUUCAGUUCUAAUAUGAUGUACAACUUCUGUUUCCGAUGCAUGUCCAAUCUGCUGAGAUGCUCUAUUUACAAAAUCAUCUGAAGCCAAACCUGCAUCUGGACUCUGACCACCUUUACUAGGCUUCCUAGUUGCAAAUUGAAGAGCCUUUACAGUGGAAACCAGGCUAUUUACCGACUCUGGUUCAAACCCAGCAAGUCGUUUUGAGGACCGACGAGGCAAAUCAAGGUUUUCCUUCUUUUUUGAAUUUCUUGCAUCUGUUUGGAUUCUCCUGGAGUUGCUCUUUUCCAUCCAACUCAUAUGUGAGUCCGUAUUUAAGGUGUUAGCAGUGGGAGUCAAAGCAGGGUCAUCUUCAGAAAAAUUCAAUUUGCCAGGAUCUGUUGAGGAACCACCAACCAAUGCAGUUUUUUCUUCACACUUGCUGGAGAUCUCUGCUUUUGGCUGCAAUAACUUGCUUGUAGAACAAUCCUCCUUGGUUUUGGCACAAUUUACAACCACACUCUCACUUAAAUGCUUAUGUGGGACAACCUCGGCUGUCGGAGCCAAAGCAACAUUUACCCUCUGGUCUUGGUACUUGGACUUUUUAGCCUCACGUUUGUUAGAGAGUGCAGCUAGUCGUUGUGAUGACCUUUUACCCACAUGUUUGCUAGAGGGUUCAGCUUUUGGGUGUGAUGACCAGCUUGGGGAACAUUCUCCCUUAGUUUCUACACAAUCUUCAACCAGAUUUUCAAUGAAAUGCUUCUCCAGGAACACCUCAGUAAUUGGAGCCAUAGCAGAUAUGCUUUCAGUGGCCAUCUCUUGCAAUUUGGAGCUUUUUGUUUCUUGCAAGUCUAGGCCACUCGAUUCAGAACUCGUUUUAGCUGCAGUGAUAAGUUCAAAACUAUAGUUAGAUAUCAGGGGUUUGUCAUUUUUUCUCUUAUUAGUUGGAGUCAAGCAUGAUGAGACUGUUUUUUCUGCAUUAUGUUAUUUGUUGACAUCUCACCUUCAGAAAGCUGCCGCCUGGUGACAGGGUGCUCCAAUUUUUGCUUUUUAGUUGCAGAUGACAGCUAAAAUAAGAGCAAAGAAGAAUUAAUAUUGCAAAACAUAACGGAAAACCAAGCAAGUGCCAUUUAAAGUUCAAUUCUCAAGUGCACAUUAUAAUGAAAAACCAAUAAAGGAACUUUCUCUGAAGCUGCCACAUUGAUCUGGUUACGGGAGAGUUAUGGGGUGAGGUCCUUGGUUCCAUUUGUUAAGGGUAUGUACUGAGGACACAGAACACCUUUACUUUUUUUUUUGGAUACAGAAGGAAACAAAAAGAAAGUGUGAAUUAAAAGGUAGUCAAACGGGUUUAAAUUUGGCUGUCACAAUUCUAUUGUGUAGGGCUGAAAAGUGAGCAACUUGACCCUGUAACGACAUCAAAGAGUGCUAGGAAAACAGAACAUGUUCCUAAAUUAAGAAAAACAGACAAUUAGGAUCAACAUAUAGAAAGCUCCAGAAUGUAAGAAUAUUGUCAUGACUCGAACCAGGGAUCUAAAAACUGGUAAAAAAUGCGUUGCCAAUGAAAAAAGAAGGAAAAAAGGAAGAAAAGUUAAUGAGAACUAGAAAGAGAAGAAAAAAGAGGAAGAAAAAGGGGGAAGAGAACUGGAAAAGUGGAAAACACCUUUUCAUGACUCGAACCAGGGAUCUAAAAACUGGUAAGGGUAUGCCUUAACCAACAUGCCAGUAGGGAAUUCCGGUAUCUGUGUUGCAAUCUAUAUUAUUUAUAAACUUAUGAGAGAAAUCUCCCUUGGGCUACAGCCCAACUAGCCUUAGACGUAGUUACGUCCCUGGAUACGACUAGAAAACCAGUAGAGAAAACAUUCUUACUGGUGAUGUCAUUAGAGAACACUAAAUUAGAGGUCAAAGAGAACACUAAUGAUACUGGAAAAAGAAAAAUUGCACUUACUGCAAUUUCAUCAUCAGUCAACUUUAGAUCAUUGGUGCACAUGCUCUUUGGUUUGAUUGUAUGUUUACUGGUCUCUCCAGUUUGUAGGUAGCGGAUAACAUCCUUUUUGGAACGGAAGAUAUAUCCAUGCACUGGAUCAGUGUAAUACUGUAUACGCAAUAGACCAAUUAAAUUAUAAAGUUAACUGUAGAAGUAAUCAACAUAACAGGAGCAGAAUUAACAUUAACUGGAAUAUGUAUCAGAGUAACUAUUUUAUACCGGAUCUCUUCUUAUUCGAUUUGCAACCUUUCUAACUUUGAUCUCCAAUAUCCACCCUGGCGGUAAAUCUUCCACAUUAUGCUUCUCAACCACAACCUAAAUAUACACAAACAAUCAGAAAAUAUGACACCUAAUUUAAGAAAGUUUAAAACAUGAAAAUUCUAAAGACAAUAAUAAAUUAUCUUGAAGCUUCAGCAUGGUAGAAACCUUUGCAAUUAAGUGGUGCCCUAACACCAACACCUACAUAUGUAUUAUAUGGAAGUGAGUUGUCGUCGAUUAAAGGCCAGUUUGACUUGUUCAGGUAUCACCACAGAAUAGUGAGGUAAAAUUCAAGACACUUAUAUUUAUCACCAGUAAUCCUAUAAAGCUACUAAGUCAUCAGAUACGGGUCUCAAUCCACUUGAUUUCAGCAAUCAUGGUAGAAAUCAGAUUAUGACUUUUCUAUACCAAUUCCCUUUGGUUUCUAUACAUUUGAGGACCCAACUCUAGUAGCUUGGGCAAAGAACUUGACCAUAUGACAAGUUAGAAUAGGAUAACCUCACAAUAAUUUAUUUUCCAUUUUCUACGUGUAAAAUUUAUCCACCAAAGGGUGAAAUAAAACUGCAGCAAAGAAAAGGACCGAUGAUCUAAUCAAGAUCUGCAUACGCUUUUUUAUCCUUGUAAUAUAAGAUAUGUCAAGUGUUACUGCUUACGCUUGUUCCUAACUAACACGCUUUCAAAGAAAAUUAGAAGCUAUUACUUUGUUCCAGAUGCAGGAUCCUAAUUAAUAAUUCUUGCAUGGUAAAAGUAUGUUCAUAAAGAUUUAUUUCUGAUCUUUUUUAUUUUUAUUUAUCAUUUUUUUUUACCAUCCAAACAAUUAAGUAAGCAUGCUAAUAACCAUAAUAUCAAAGGGAACAAACUUUGCUUGGGAAGUGCAUGGCAGUGACGGUCUUGGUUUUGAUAAUGCAUCUUUUGCGGUUUACCGUUUUGUGACUUCUGGAUUUGUAGCUCUUGCGCUUUACGGUUCUCAGGUGUCGAAAUACCUCUGGCUUAGAAUAAAAUGUACAUUCCCUUGACGGAUCAAUGUAACACUGCAAUAAGAUAAAAAGGAGAUUCUGAGUCCUGCUUAACUUCUUCAGUCAUCAUAUAACUCCACGAUCAACUUCAACAUUAAAAUACUGUUUAGCAGCAUCAGAUAGGCACACCCUUUCCCUUUUUAACAUUUGUAACUGUCAUAGAAAAUAUUACUUAACCCCCGGAAUGAAUAAAAGGAUUACAAUCACUUAAUGCAGGAAUGAUGAAACUAGAAACUAGAAUUUAGGGGUCAAAAUAAGGAAAAGAUUCCAAGAUGUAAUGAUCCUAGGAGUCCUGUGGUCAAAUUAAAAGAGGCAGCCAGUAAUGAUAACCUUAUAACAAUAAUUAAAAGAGGCAGCCACUGAUGAUAAUAAAAGAGGCAUUAAGUCCAAAUUCAGUAGACAACAAUGGCAAUAUACCCAAAGCAGUAACUUCAAAUACGCAUAUAUGUUACCUUGUACUCCUUUCCAACUUGCACACCAGAUUUUCGAGUUCUCAAUUCGACUUUCCAGCCAUCUGGCAACCAUUCAGGAUAUUCAACUGUGUUUGCUACCACCUGUCCAUAGCAAAUGAUGAUCAGCUACAUAGAUGAACUAACAACAUUUUUUUCAAGAAAGGGCACAAGAGACUCACCUGCAAAUGACUUUUACUGGAGGGGUUUUUGGUAUUUGUAGGCUUGGGCUCUUCACCACAGUUGGUGGUCUUUUUAGUAUACCGUAUAACAUCGUCCUUGGAGAAGAACUUCUUCCCGGUUUCCAACUCGAUGUAAAUCUGCAAAUAUGCAAAAGUAAUAUAUGAGUGCCUAGUUAGCACCACAACAGGAUAUUUGAUUACAAAGUUUCUAUAUUGGUUCAACAGUAUUAUCCUUGCCUCAAAUGACUACGGAAAGUGAUUACUUUUACCAUUUCCAGUGUGACCUGCUUUUAUUUACAAGCCUAUUAGGUUACGAAUACUGGAAAUGACAAGAUAGAGGGUAAAAUUAUCCACCAACAUAGUUCACUGAGUACCCUGAUGCAAUCCAAUUCAACUCAGCCUACAGAGCACUCUCAGUUUAUGUUGAGUCAUAUAGAUUUUAGCUUUAGAACAAUGCACAAAGAACCGCUACAGAUUCAAAAGCUUCCAAAACCCUGAAAACCAACAAACUCUCCCUUUACGAACUAGACUUUUGUCGCGGAGCAAAUCAGUAACAGUAUUAACACCAUUCUAAUGCACAUUCAUUGCUCCAAAACAACCAACUUUCCCUAAAAUCCUAAAUCUACCAACUCGAAGCUACCGAAAUUUAUCACCAACAUGCAAUCCCAUUUCUUCAUCUAAACACACAUUUCCACACAGACACAGUCAUCAUGACCAUCACUGAUUCAUCAUCACCAUCCAACAUGCAGCUACCAAAACAAAAUCUUCGCAUGAUGCCAAGUCAAAACUCAACUCGAUCAAAAAUCCACAAGCAUUUCAAAGACUGAAUCUCAGUAACACUCACUCAAUUAACCACAAUUGAACCAAUCAAGAGCAUAAAAAACCAAAAUUGAAGACUAAAUGCUGGUAAUUUGAAACCCUAGAAAGCUUGAAGCAGCAGCAAGACAAAAAGAAAAGGCUCACCACACUUCGGCGACCACGGUUCUGGGCUCUAAAUUGGACGCUCCAGCCGGCGGGGAGCCAGUCCGGCGAGCUCGCGGCCACCAUUUCAGCCGGAAUCGGGUACUUUUCGGCGAGUAAUCGCCAGAAUCUGAAGACUUAGAGUUUCAGAGUUAGGCCUGGGAUUAAAGCUCGGGUCUUUUUCUCUCAGCUAACUCAAACAAGUAAACGGAACCUGAAAUAUAUAUAAACAUAUAUACAGCUAUAUAUAUAUAUAUAUAUAAAGUUUGGAUAUAUAUAAAUUUUGCGGCCCACGUGUUCAUCUAUCGGAUUUGGGAUUAGUCUACAGAGCAGUCAAGAAUUUCGGUUUGAAGUGACCACAGGUGUGGUUGGAGUUUCAACCAUGGUGAGUUUGCCAUGUGGGUUGUAUGCCUACAUGUGGAAAACGAAUUAUAUCAUUCUGAUACAUUCAUACCAAAGCUCAUGUUUUUGAGGGUCUAGACUGCAAUGUUGUUAUUUGGAGGCGAAAUGCCGAAAGUUCUUCUCAAGAUUUAUAUCAGAUGAACUACUGCUCACGUAUCGUUAGAUUUUUUGAAGUGAUAUAAAGUUGAUUCCACGUGUGUUUACUUACUUAAAAUGAAUAUAAUGACGGAGUAGUUAGUUCCACUAAUUAUGAAUUCUCCAACAUCUAGCAACAUAUACCAAUACAAGAAUGCGUGUACGUCCCCAGGACGUCCACAACGUUAAGAAUGUAUCCGAUUAUAUUAAUUUUUUCACCUUUUCAAGUUAGUAAACGGGUCCAUAAUGUUAAGAAUGUAUCUGAUUACAUGAACUUUUUCACUUUUUCAAGUUAGUAAACGGAAUCCGGAUUUACCAAUCAGUAAUCUUUGCUGGUUUCCAUGACCAUCUAAUCAAGAAAGAGAGAGAAAAAGUUGAUUGGUUGGUCAGGACACUAGUUAGCAUGUCUGGAUCCUGCGAUCAUACUAGCUCAGCUCAGCACAAAACAAAUUCUUUUUAUAGAAAAUAAAUAAAAUUAUUAUUUUAUCGCGGUCUAAUUAUGAUAUUACCAGCCAAAAAAUUGACACAUUAUAAUUGGAUAGGGAGAUUUUGGUCAAUGGAAGAAAGUGAGACUAUAAAGAGAAAGAAGAAACAAGAUUGGAGCUUCUAUUCUUCUUCUCCAAAUUCUUACCAAGAAACCCCUAAAUCCUUACGUAUAUCCUCUCUGUCCUUCCAUUGAAGGCUUGUUUAGGGCAGGUCAGUGUUUUAAAAUCUCUGCCUCUAUAAAUGUUCUGUUAAUUUUAUGCCUCAAUUUUUUAGGGUUUUCGAUUUCAAUUUGUUGGUUGUGUGAUUUGUAACUAUAGCCGGGUUUGGGGAAUUAGCAUCGGCGUUGAAAUUGUCUUCAUUUUUCGGGUAUAAAUUUCUGGGAUUUUGGUUUUGAUUAUGGAUUGGUCAUGCUUAUUUGAUUCAAAAGAUGAUGUUUUGGUGUAAGAAUUUAGUGUUUAUAUGCAAAGGAUGGACCUUUUCAUCCAAGUUUUCGGUUUUCGGGUGAAUUAUGAUGUUCAAGAAAGUGGGUAUCAUGCAUAUUGUUAUUUGAGGUAAACAUAAUACAUCAUCGUUCAAAUUCAUGGAGAUAGAAUGUUAGAUGCGGCUCGGGUCGUGAUCUUGAGGGUUUCUAGAAGUAGAUUAUGGAUUUGGAGAUUUUCGGAUAAAUGCAUCUUUAAAGUUUUAUCUGUUAUGCAGUUUCCGAUUUGGAAUGUUUGCAUGAACUUGACUUUGCAGUGAUUUUACAAGUACACAUAUCCGUAUUUUUUUAUAUAGGAGUUGGUUGUGUAUGAUUUCUAACUAGACGUUGGUGAUUGCAGAUGGCAUUGCAAGAACAAUUAGAUAGAUUCAAGAAGCAGCAAGAGAAAUGCCAGUCAACCCUGACCAGCAUUGCCUCUAAAAAGGCUGCAGCAAACCCCAGAGCUGUUCCCAUAGCAGCUGCUAAAGCUCCCGCUCCAGCUGUCAAAUUCUCUAAUGAUACAGAGAGACUCCAACACAUUAAUAGCAUAAGGAAAGGGCCUGUUGGAGCUCAGAUCAAGCGUGUUAUAGACCUGCUUCUAGAGGUUCACAUUAAAUACCCUUUUUGCUUGACGCAAAUGAUCAGUGUGUUUUUUUUAUUUACAACUCUCCUGUGCAUUUUCUGUUGAUGACUUGUUGUGUCCUAUAGUAUGUCCCACAUGUGGUAAGUCUCAGCUGUUUCCUUCCUCCCCCACUACACAGUUAGGCUAAGCAAAAUAAAAGCUUGUUUUCGUUGUCUACAGCAGAAAAGGUUGGCAUCUGUUGGAGGUAUAUAUGCAAGGAAAGAUACAGACUUGUAGAUUAGCAUCUAGGAUAUAUAUGUUUCUACAUAUUUGUCUACUAAACAGAUGCAAGUUGCCUCCAUAUUGAUAUGAUGGUGCUUGAAUUCCUAGUUUGGAGAUCUAUUAUCCCAUCUCUUUAUUGGAAAAGAAUCGAGAUCCCUCUAUGGUAUAGUAAUCUAUAUAUCCGAGGGAUGUGGCUUACAGUAGGUGUUCUGUUGAUUUCAUAUGGUAUGAAUGCCAAUAAUAGAGUAUUUGUCUGGUUGGGGUGAUUACUUUUUCAUUCAAGGAGUUAGAAGGGAAGCAGUUUCCCUUUAGGAUAUUAUGUAAAGCAAGAUGUGUUCUGUUGGAGUACUAAAGACCUUUUGUACUUCCUCCCUUCUCCUGAUGUUUCGUAUCCUUCUUGCUUUGAGCUUUUUCCAGCAAGUAAUUGCUAAGUUUGCUAGGACCCAGUUGAGAAGGAUCACCAUCUGAUGACUAUGAGUCGUUAUGUUUACAUAUUUUUGUAGACAAGGCAGGCCUUUACGCCAGAGCUAAUUAAUGAAGCAUGUUAUGUUGAUGUGAAUGCCAACAAAGCUGUCUUUGACAGUCUGAGGAAUAAUCCAAAAGUUCACUAUGACGGGAAGCGCUUUUCUUAUAAGGUAACUUUGAGCUGUAUCUACCUGCAUGUCAAAGCUAGCAUGCUUUUAGUUUAUGAUUUUUUGAUAUAAGGAUUACAUCAACUUGUAUUUGAUAUGUGCAGUCCAAGCAUGCUCUGAAAGACAAAAAUCAACUCCGGUCCUUAAUACGGAAAUUUUCAGAGGGCAUACCUGUCAUUGAUCUGAAGGAUUCAUAUCCAACUGUGAUGGAGGACUUGCAGGUAUACGUUAUUUGUAUAAUUUUUCUUCAAACAAUCUACUGUGUCUGUGGUGGUGUGAAGAUAUUUGUUUGGAUUACUUUUCUUACAAAUAGGCUUGGAAUGUCAACUUUUUAUAGGCUUUGAAAGCUGCGGGUGACAUAUGGCUACUUUCGAACUUCGAUUCACAAGAGGACAUUGCUUAUCCAAAUGACCCCAGGUUGCCUUCUUGUAAGGUGGAUGAUGAACUUAAAACUUUCUUCAGGGAGAUUGAAUUGCCUCGUGAUAUGCUAGACAUUGAGAGGGAUCUCCAGAAGAAUGGUAUGAAGCCGGCCACAGACACUGCAAAGAGGAGGGCGGUGGCGCAGAGUCAAGGCAUUCAAGCCAAAUCCAAGCCCAAGAAGAAGAAGAAUGAGAUCAGCAAGAGGACCAAGCUGACCAAUGCCCAUCUUCCAGAGCUUUUCAAGGACCUGAAAAAUUAGCUGAAGCCAUUACUCAGAAUGGCAAUACACUGAUGGUCCUGUGUUGAGAUACAGUUUUCCAAUUUGUUGCCACAAGAAUUACGUUAAUAGGAACUGUAAAUUGUAUCAAAUAGCUAUGAAAUCCAAUUUGGAAGUCUUUAAAUUUUAACUCUAAACCAAUGGAUUGCGGAAUUGGAUCUAUAAUAUCCAUAAGACUAUUACAUAUCUUCGAAAACUGAUUUCAUCACAGGGACUAAACUCAGAGCCAACAUCACAUUUGAGGGGUAGUUCAGUAAUUCGAAACAGUUAAGCGCCAAUUUUAACAGAAAAAUUUAAAAGUUGGUUAUUUUUCCUUGUCCACCCAAUUUUGAUAUAAAUCUCUACACACAGAUCAACUCAGAGAUAGAGACUCAGAAACCCAACACAGCUUCACAUCACCAUGCAAGCUCACUGCUCCACACUCUCCCCUAUUUCCCUCGGAAACCCCAACCGCCGAUUCCCCAUCAUCUCCCGUCCUGCGCCUUUUAACGGUUCGAUACAUUUCAAAUCUUCAAUCUUUUUCACCUUUUGGGUUUAACAUUUUUUGUUGGAUGCUUUGUUUUGUUAUGUUUUGUUUCUGAUGUUUUCGGGUGUUUCGGGUUCAGUUUAUCGAUCGAAUGGAGGUGCGGAUUCGUGGGUGGGGAGGAAAAAGAAUAGGGGAGUGACGGUUUCGGCUUCUGAGGAGCAGAGCUCAAAUUCUGAUUUGCCCAAGAGAAGGUUCAUUAUUGUUUCUUCAACUCAAUAAACCCAUUUCUUAUAGUUCAUUUCUUUUAAUUUUCUUGUUUUUUGAGGGUUUAGGAACAUAGAUUUUUAACCAAGUUAUGUUCAGGACCUGUUGUGAUAUAUAGCAUAGUCUGACAAUUGAUGCUAUGUGUUUAGCACUGUGAUCCAUCAAGCAUUGUUCUUUGUGUUUAGUUGUGUAGCCCAAAAUGCAUAUGGUUGUAUAAUAAUGUUACUCUAAUUUGUGUUGUACAUAGAAAGAUUGUUGAACAUGUAUGUCUGCUUAAAUCGAAGAAGGAUUUAUCUGAUGAGGAAGAGAAGGUUAUGCUGGAUUAUCUUUAUACAACCCAGUAUCAAAUGAGAGGCAUUGUCGCGAUAUCAUUAGGUGAGGUUUACAUGUCUGAGUUGAUCUCUACAGCACUUUUGUAUUUCAAAUAAAGUAAGAUUCAAACACUUGUUUCUGUUGGUUUUUCUGUUUCUGAUUUGCCCCUUUGCAUUAAGCAUGGGAUUAUAUACAGAACCUAGUGUCCUAGUAACAAAAUUUCCAUAUGCUUAUGCUUGGCCAUUUACAUUUAUACCUUGAUAAACUAUCUUUGAUUUAUCUGCACAACAUUUCUGCAGGACGCAUCGGUAACCAAAAUCCCGAAAAGUAUAGUUAUGCUUUCUACCUGCGUUUCCAGAGAAAAGAAGACCUUGUAAAGUUUUACCAGCAUCCUUUCUACUUGGGAGUUCUCAAGGAUCAUGUAUCGCCUUACUGCCAUGUAUGCCCUGACAUGUAAACACCGACACUCUUGUCUUCCAUUUAUUUUACUUUUCUGCUAGAUCAAGUUUGUUUUGAAUAACUGAAUCAUUUUUCAACUUAAUGGACUGACAUUUACCAAAAGCAGGGAUUGCUAAAUGUAGAUUAUGAGUCUGAAGUAGAAGAUGAUAUCCUUCCUAUAUUCCGAAAAGGAGAGGUUGGAAGCAACAUCCUUUCUAAUUUGAAAUCUCUUUCUGGUUCUAAAUAUUUCCAUAUGAUUGCUGUUUGUGGUUUCUGGAAUCCCAAAGUAAUUUCUAAAGGAUACCUCAUUAUUGUUGCAAGCAGGAAUUCAACUUUGGGGUAGAGUUUGUGCUGCUGAUUUCCUUCAUCAAUAAUGCAUCUGAUCAUGCUGAAGAUGCAUUGGUUUCUUUGGAAGGGCUGCUGAUGGGAUUCCCAUCCUUGAUUGUCCAAUCUACUCAGGGUUUGUUUGAGCUAAAAAGCCAUCAUGCUAGACUGUUCAGUAGUAGAUUUCUCUUUUGGAAGCUAAAUAAAGAUUCAACCGGAUCUGUAAAACAAGGAAUUUAUGCUGAUUCAGUAUUGUUUUGCUUUGGCAAUCUGUUUAUGUAAUAACUAUUCUGAUGAUACAGUAGGAAGACCUGUUUGUGCUACAAAAUAACUGGUAUUUGAUUGUCAGGUAUGAAUUUUAACCCCAGCAGCAAGGAGUAUACACACGGAGUGGUUAUCAGAUUCCGGUCAUGUGAGCUCUCGAUUAUUUCUGUAAACUCAGAUAAAUGCUGCUUCAUUUUUUGACUGUCAUUCUUUGGUUUGGUAUAUUUUGUAGUUGACGCUUUCGAGAUAUUUAUCGGAAGCUCAGAAUACAAAGAUGUAAGUAGCCAUUUUGUUGUUCUGCUUAUUAUUUAUGUUAAUUCUAUUUGCUUUCGCUGUGGCCUUGCUUUUGAGAUCUUGCACUUCAAUCAACAUUUAAAUGUUAGAAUCUCAUCUAGAACUCAGAGAUUCCAUGGUAAUAUUAGUAUUUCUGAUGUUUGAGCUAUAUGUUAUUAGUUUUUUUUUUUUUUUUUUUCCAGUAUUUUUCUUAUACCAUCUUAUAGUUCUGAGUCCAGUGAUCUUCUAAUUCACAUCUAAUUUAUGGUUAAGAAACAUUCUUGAAUUAUACCACUAUGAGAUUCUUUUUUCUUCUGUUUCGGUAAAACUUUAAAACAACAUUCCUUUUCACCUUUUGGAUUCAAUCACAUCACAGUUAUGGAAGUCAAAGUUCGAGAACAUCACUCAGAAAACACUUUCUGUUCAUUUUCUAAUUCAACCAGUGGGUAGUGAGAUCAUGUAGCAAGGAUCCCAUGAGGUUUGUUUACUGUAUAUAUUAUUCUAAGCCGCUACCGUAUGUUGACAGAUCGCUUAAUCUUAUAUUAUACAUAAAUCCAAUGCAGGAUUUCAACAGGAAUUCUUGCUCACUUUCUUCUGCUAUUGACAAGCAUGUGCAGGUCAGUUAAUCUUCUUUUAUUCAGUGCAUUAGUUUAAAUAAUCUGUAUUUAUACUUGUUUACAAACUUUGUCUUCUCUGAAUGAAAAGAUGUCGAAUUCAUUUCUUCAAGGUCCUACUAUGAAAAUCAAGCAAUAUAAUCAGUCCAAUUCUUAGUGAUUAUAAGAGAAAUCUGACUACUAUUUGAAGAUGUGAGUUCUGUGUAGUAAUUCUGAUAUGUCUUCAGGGUAGGUCUGACUGAAAAACUUCUCCCUAAUUGAAUAAAAAACCUUAUUUUCUGCCUAUAUUUCAUUGGCAUAUUGAUCAUUUUCUACCUUCUCAUUUGUCUUCCUCCCAUGGAAGUUACAUCACAGAAACCUUCCAAAUGUAUUGUUUGACCUCACUGGCAGAUACUUGAAAACAAACAUAAAUGUUCAAACAGACUAUGAGUAUUUUAUAUUUGAGCUAUUUAACACUAUUUAAUAACCCAUAAGAGCCAAAAACUCAGCCCCCACCAUGAAGGCCAAAAUCAAUUAGAUGCGUAUGCAUUUUGACUUAUUAUAUAAACACUGCAGCCUGCAGCUUCUUUAGAAAAGUGACAUGCUUCUUGUUGGUGAUGUUACUCCAAUGGUCAUCUUUUUGCACCUUGAACCUUUCCAGCAAAAACUUUCUAGGUUCUGAAACUUUUUAUUGUUUUGAACUCUUUGAUAUCUUUUCUUUGAAAAGAAAGUGAGAACCUCCUUAUUCGACCAAAUGACACUGUUCAUUGUUUAGAUAUCUUUUCAAGAACUAUCCGUGCACUAAAUCAGCCCUUUUUGGAGAUUGUUCAGAUCAAUAUAUUACCUAUAUAAUCACAGCACCUAAGAUAGUAUACAAUAUCUAUAUGCAUAACAGCAGCCAAUACAAUUUUUUUUUGGAAAUCAACAUAAUUGAACUUCAUGUACCAGAGCAGCUUUUGUAUAAAUCUACCAUUUAAUAUACUGGUACAGACUUGUGCUGUCUUCAUAAACUAGUCAGUAGUCACUCACAUUUCCUGAAUGUAUCUAUUACUAUUACACAUCUUUGAGUAAAAACCAAAAAACAAAAGAGGAAAAUGAUUUACAAACUGCAAAAUUUGGUAUGACUAAAUACACAUAGCAGCCAGACAGCUACUGAUCAGUUGUGAAGUGGGUUUGGUCCUGCUGGAACUACUCGUAGAGAAGCAUUACUAACCACCGGGUCGAUCUCAGCUCUGUUGGAUCCCUCUGGAGAUUGUGCAGAUAAAUGCCAUGAAAACUUGGAAUUGGAUUCAGUGUUCUCUCUUUGCUUCUCUGCUUCACUUAUCUUUAUGUGGAGCUGACGAGAAGUUGAUUGCUGACUGAUCAUGAGCAUGAUCAUGAACAUCACAAGUGGAAGUGUGAGAUUUUGAAAUCCCAUGAGAUGAUGAAGCUCAGAAAUUCUUACAGAGAAAAAAGGGAGCAAAGCUGAGUUUGUUUUCAAUUCUGAUAUGAAGCAGGUUUUGGAGUCUUUUUAAUAUGGGGGAAUCAGGAAACAUGUGGCAAAGAUAGAGCCAAAACUCACAAUUAAUUCUAUCAAAUGACAUUAAUGCCCAAUUUUGGCCACAAAUUUUCAGAAAGCAUCACUCAACUACCCUAAUUGACUAACCUCAGGAUUCAGGAACACCCUAUUGCACUUAGAAUCCACUCUGCAGCAUUAUGCAUAUUGCUGGUCUUUUCGACCACCUUUAAGAACUAACACCAUCUGUGAUGCAGGUCAUUAUGCAGAAACAUGCUCUUUGGAUGCCUCAGAAGGCUUUGAGAAUGUAACUAUGUGAUCCAGGUCUUUUGUAUUUGUUCUGAAAUUACUUAUACAUUUGAGGCUUUUAAUACCAGAACUUUAAAGGCUAAUCUGGUCCUUUAAUUACAUGAAUUAUUAGCACCCAAUGGUUUAAGAGUUGACUUUGGGUUGGUUUGUUUCUUUCUAAUGCUCAUUUAGCUUGAUAAUUUUACAAUGUGUACUAUAAUUAUUGGUUAUUGAGACUUGGGGCAAGAUCCCACAUACAAGUGGCACCCAUAUUUGGCAUGCAUCCCGUCACAUGUUUCUUGUUCCAAGCCAGUGAUAUUAUUCUAGUUCGGUGUUGAGAGAUAGCCAUUAGAGGAUCGAUUAAGCAUCGUUCUGCAGGGUUAUCAAUAAUUUGAGGUUGUAGCAUGUAGACACAAUCAUAUAAGGACCCAAAUGUGGGCACGAUCCCUCAUCACUCUUUCAAUCUUUUCAAUCAUGACUUGUAGGGCCUAAACAAAUUUUCAGGUCUCAUAUACAUUAACGAGUGAUUGUUGUUUGCGCACAAAGAGAGCCAUUCUAGUAAAGACUACUAAAUGCUCGAGCCAUAUUUCACGAGCUAAUAGCAUGAGUUGGCUAAAUCCAUCAGUCUUUGUAAGAAAGAGAUUAUAUAUUAUGGUCAAACCAUCAGGAGGGGUUUUGAUGUUUUCAUUUCUGAGGUGUGUAGCCUGAGAUGAACAGAAUCCAUUCAAUUAUUAGAAACGUCAUCAGCCUGGACUGACUCAUAUAUAGGAUAUCAAUGCUCUUGUCAUUUUUGAAGAAAAUAUGAGAAGUGGUGAUUUUUUUUUUGUUCAGUUUUCUUAAUAUUACGUCAGUAAUGUAUUGGAUGAAUUGUCUCAAAGAGACUAAGCAAUCACCUAAGCGAACCCAAAUUUCAAUAUCUUGGAUGCUGAGAAUCCAAAUUUCAAACCUUGUGAUGUUAAAAGAAUAUGUUCAAACAGGGCAUCUUAAACAAACACUGGUGAUGGUGAAGUAGAGCUUUUUCUAUUAGAUUUUAGAAUAAUUGGAAAACUGAUAUGAAAGUCUUGUUCAUCAAUCAUUUGAUUGGAUGCAAGAUUAGGCUACAAAGACCAAGCAUAUAUAAUUUCAUUUGUCAUCCACAUCUGUGUGAAAAACUACACCACAUACAGAAUUAGAAUAGGAUAGUUUCAUAGACAGCAUGACAGGGUAGUUGAAACUUGAGAUAUUCUUAAUGACCUGAUUUGGGUCCUAAUAAUGGGCCUAAUUUCGAUUAUGUAUAAAAAAUUGUGGAUCAAUUACUUGAUUUGAUUAAUAUAGGGCAUUCUGGUGCUUCAUGCAACCCAUCUUCCCCCUUGGGUAUCAAAUUAGCGGUUCAUCAGGAAUCAAUUCCUCAUAGAAUAUAAGGAGGUGAGACCCACACCCAUUCCAAUUCCUGACAAGAGGUUUAGUAUACGAUCAUCCCAUUUGCUCCAACAAUUGAAAUAAACCAUCUAGUUAAUACUUUCAUUGCAGAAUUAAAUCUGAUCUAUCAAACUCUGAUUAAUAGAGACUAACUGAUACCAUAGUAAAAAUCAUAGUUUAUGACAAAAUUGACAGGAAAAGGAAUACGAACUAAAAAGAAUACCCUUAAUGGUGUUACUUCCUAAUAUGCCUAGGAGAUAAAUAAAUUAGUCUUCAAUAGGAUUGAGAACCUGCCCAACGAACAUCACCGUUUUAGUCACUUCUUCUCUGAUAAGAUAAAGGAAUGGGUGAUCUGCCACGAAAUCUAUCGGACGAGGAGGUUCUCUAGCACAGUACAUCCUUACAACAGCUGCCGUCACAGCAGCAGCUUCUGUGCCUUUUUCAUUAACUUCAAUGAAGGCUUUGUGGAAUAUUUGCGAAACAUAUAAGGGCUCAGGUGAGUCCACCAUUUCUGUCAAGCCUCCAGGAGAGAAUCCCAAAGUCUCCAGAAGUUUGGAAGCCUCAAAACCACAGGAAAUCUUAAACUUUGGGAUUAAGAAACGACGUACCGGAACUCUUUCGUUGGGAAGAUGGCUAUCUAUAAACUCGACGUUGGAGCAAAACUGCUCGAUCAAAGACGGCAGCCCGUUUCUUGUAUUUGGAAGAAAGAUGUACAUGGAGAAUUCUCUCUCAUAAUCUUGACCUUGUUUGUAGAGAAGCUUCAAGACUUUGAAGCUUUCAAAGGCACGUACGAACUGAUCCGACCACUUUGUCAUGAAGUGUGCCUUAACUGAGCCCACAUUAUGGAGAAGGUGAAAGUCAGACACUCUUGUAUCUGAUGCUUCAAACUCCCUAUCCCAUUCUCCUUUGAAGUAUAAAGCAUUUGCAAGGAUGAGCCUUGUUGCCGUAGAAACUGAGUCAGGGGGGAGAAUGCUUUCGAUUAGACCCUUGGUUUCCUUUUUUCCCCAGGAAUUCACUUCACGUCGCACUUCCUCUGGUUUGGUCUUGAAAUCAACUUGUUUCAAGGCCGCCUUGUAAUCAGUGCCCAAUACCUAAGAUCAAAGAUAGACGAUAUAUAAGAUAUCUAUCUGCAACAGAGUGUUAGUAAACAUGUCGAAUUGGGGUGUAAGAAACUACAUACAUUUUGGAAGGAAGGCUUGAUAGAGAGAGAUUGGUCCAUCCAAACCCCAUUGGCGAAUGACAAGAGAGGACCGCCGAGUUUGGAUCCAUCGGCAAAGACUAGUGAGACGACCCUGGAGGCUAGAGUGUUGAGCUCUUUUAUGGACUUGGACUUGAGGAAACUGAGCAUCCUUUUUUGGUUGGAACCCUUGGCCCCAGCAGCUAUCAGGCUAAGAACCACAUGAAUGGACAGCGGCGAGAACACAACGUUCUUGUCCUUAUUGCCUUUCUCAUUCAGAAGCAGUUGCUUUGUGAUUUCUAGUGCGACUUUGGUUUGGUCCUGAAUGGAUUUUCUGAGGGAUUCUGAUGCUUUGAAUGAAGGUCGUGGUUGAUAUGGGAAUCGUGCAGCCAUUGCUUCUGUGGAAAAUUUUAGAUAAACAUUACUACUUAAACCUAAAGAACACUCUUGGAGAGAAAUAUUAAACUAAACUACAUAAAACUCAUAAACCAAUACAUGCAACUCCUUAAAAUUCAUACUUUUUAAAAAAAAAAAAAAAACUAACCUUAAAUUACAUCGAAAAAACUUUUAGUAACUAAAUUACUGCUUCUNNNNNNNNNNNNNNNNNNNNNNNNNNNNNNNNNNNNNNNNNNNNNNNNNNNNNNNNNNNNNNNNNNNNNNNNNNNNNNNNNNNNNNNNNNNNNNNNNNNNNNNNNNNNNNNNNNNNNNNNNNNNNNNNNNNNNNNNNNNNNNNNNNNNNNNNNNNNNNNNNNNNNNNNNNNNNNNNNNNNNNNNNNNNNNNNNNNNNNNNNNNNNNNNNNNNNNNNNNNNNNNNNNNNNNNNNNNNNNNNNNNNNNNNNNNNNNNNNNNNNNNNNNNNNNNNNNNNNNNNNNNNNNNNNNNNNNNNNNNNNNNNNNNNNNNNNNNNNNNNNNNNNNNNNNNNNNNNNNNNNNNNNNNNNNNNNNNNNNNNNNNNNNNNNNNNNNNNNNNNNNNNNNNNNNNNNNNNNNNNNNNNNNNNNNNNNNNNNNNNNNNNNNNNNNNNNNNNNNNNNNNNNNNNNNNNNNNNNNNNNNNNNNNNNNNNNNNNNNNNNNNNNNNNNNNNNNNNNNNNNNNNNNNNNNNNNNNNNNNNNNNNNNNNNNNNNNNNNNNNNNNNNNNNNNNNNNNNNNNNNNNNNNNNNNNNNNNNNNNNNNNNNNNNNNNNNNNNNNNNNNNNNNNNNNNNNNNNNNNNAUAUAGGAUCCGGAUUUGCAACCAGCAAAGAUUGCUGGUUGGCAAAUCCGGAUCCCUAAUACUGGUAUAUAUAUUGAUUGUUUUGGUUCUAGAUUUCGUUUUAGGGUUUGUCAUUUUGGACAUGUGGGUGCAUGUAUACACCCCAACAUUUGGGCUAGUUUAGUUUUGCUGUGACUUUAAAAAGAAAUUGCUGUUGCUGUUUGGACUGCGAAAAUAAUCAACUGUGAAUUAAAACAGUUUUGUGUUUGACAAAUAUUAGUUUUAAAAGUGUUGCCAAGAUAAAAUUUAUUAAUUUCUAGUAUUUUAGUGACCUAUAAUUUUUUUUAAAAAAGGAUAGAAGCUGAUUUUUUUUAAAAGCGAAGCUAUACCAAACUAGGCCUUAAUCAAACUAAAAAGCUGUUAAUAUAAGGGUUUUUUUUAAUGAAAAAUGAUGAACAUUUUCAUUGAUAAACUCAUGUGUAAACCUUACAUUCCAUUGGUUAAUUAACUCUAUAUAUGUAAUAAAAUAGAACUAUAUCAAAUUUCAUACUAAACUAAAAGUCAGAAGUUCAUCAAUAUAUAUCCACAUAAGUUGUGGAAAUAUAAAACUUAUACAAGAAAUCCUAACCAAGGAUAUGGUGUUCUUGUCAAGCCUCCGAUGCACAAAGAACCCAUUAGCUUAUUGUUCACGGACUAGCCUAUUUUCUCUAAUGACCUUAGCUAGCUAGUCUAGAUAGGCAGUGAUGUUCACAUGGUCACCUAGUGACCAAAGAAAUCUUGAUAAAUCACCCUUAGAUGUAUUUACCAUGAUUAUGAUUUCAUUGGUUACUAGGUGACCAUAUGAACACUACUACUAGGCAGGAGGACAUGGAUUGCUUAUGUAUAUUUCCUUUUGGUCUUGCUUCCCCAUCAUUUGAAGCUCUUAAAGUCCCUUUUCUGAUGACUGAUCCAAACCUCAAAUGAUUAGUUCAUUAACAUAUAUAUUGGAUCAUCUAGAAUGCAAAGAAUUAAUACAUUUAUGGUUAUCCUUUGUCAUUUCUUCCUUUCAGGUGUGCUACGGUACAGCCGGGAGCGGAACGAGCUAUACUUUUUUACCACAAAGUACAGAAUCAAAGGAUCCCAAUGGGUAGCAACAGGCAAGACAGCGGAGGACAUAAGAGGGGCUAACGGUCAGAUAUUGGGUACCAAAAGGCUGUACCGGCAUAAGAACAACUACAAACGGUACAAAUGGUAUCUGGAUGUAUACCAAAUGCCAGAGCAUGACAUGACAAUGGUUAAGUUUUAUGAGAGCAGCCGAGGCGAACACUACAGUCCACCACCUAUGACGCAGGAACAAUUUCGGCAGUCUGUGGCCUACAUCGUUCGGGAUACUCUAAGUCGUUUGGGCUACAUUCCUAGAAGUUCAAUUUUUCCCUUAAAUGCGCCACCUCCAACUUCUAUGCCAUCUGGUACUAUAUGCAGUCAAUAUGCUCAUCCCUUUUUACCUAAGCAUUUUUUUUCUUAUGCUACACAUUUAGUUACCUUUUGUUUUGUUUAAAGAAUUUUCUUUCUUGAACAUUUAAUGAAAGUGAUGAUUGGCCCUGGUUCAGCAGCCAGUUCUGGAACUGGCUCAAUGAUUCCUACUCCUGGAAUCUCUCAACAAGCCCAAUCUGGGAUACAGUCACUUGGUGCAAACAGUAGUUCGGUAUCUAAUCCGUUGUCACAACAAGCGUCAAGUGCUCGGCAAUCUGCACAAUCCCAAUAUGCAAAAUUCUGGGAGGUGAGUCUAGUAUAUCCUCCGUUGGAAACAUUUUUCAUGUCAAGACAGCGGGGAGAUAUUUUUUUAUUUUUUUAAAAAAGUCUUGACUUCCAGGUACUCUCUAUUGUAUGUGAUUCUCACUUGUUAUUGGAUAUCCAAACACAUGCAGGGAAAUCUAUCUUUCCUGGGGCGGAGAAGUCAACCUGUGUCUAUUACUAGAUUGGAAGUAUGUAUCCAGAUGCCUCACGAAUUUCCCUUUUACAGUAACUUCUGUUUCAAUUUACCUUUUAUACUUGCAUACUAAUAUGCUAUAAGGUUUUCAAUUCGCCCCUACCCCUACCCUCCCCCGGUUAAUAACUAAUAAGUUUUCACAUACUAGUUAUGAACAUACUAAAUUACUAAUACUAGUAUGUUCAUACUUUCAACUUGUGUAUGGAAAUUUAAUUUCCAGAUACACCCAGAUGUCUUAUGGUUAAUUGCUUUUCAGCGCUUAUAUAUCUGCAAGUUUUUUCAUUCCAUAAGUAAAGAUAUAUAUCACCGACCAUCUGCUGGUCAUUAUAUUCACAGAGGCUUUCUCUAAUUGUUUGUCAGGGAUACAGAAGGGCAUCAGCAUCUGAGACGUAUGUCUGCAGAGCUCUCUACUUUCUUCUAAAUACACUAGCUGGCAUAUAGUUGAUGCUUCAUCGUUCAAAGUUGCUCUCUUUAACAUUUUUUCCAUUUAGGAAACAAGGUUUUAGUUUUUCACAGCUCAAAGAAUAUGUUGUUUACUGAGUUUAUACUUCAUUUUUGGCACCUAUUUUAGAAAGCUAUUGGAUGAAAUGGUGAAUGUGUUUUAAGUAACCUCCACUGUUAGAGUUCUGAUUCUAUGCAAUAUAUAUAGUAUGCUGGCCCUAUAUUGAAUGUCCUUAAUUAUGGGAAAGUGCUAUAUCCAUAACAUAUUUAGGGCAUCUUAGCUAUAUUUUGGUUGACAAAUGUCUUGUGCAUUGCUCAGGCUUGCAGCAAACUGGCCACCGACAUUGCAAAUAGUCAGGCUCAUACCUCAGGAACCCCUGAAUAACAGGUAGUUUUUCAUUUAGUAAAAACCUUCCCUCUUUUAUUAUAUAUAUAUAUAUAUCAUCCAGUUGAAAUGUCUGUCUCUGAGUUUCCCUGAUUAUCCAGAGUUAUUACAUUAUUUCAGGCGAUUGUUGAGACGGGUAGACAAACUAGUAUUUUGGUAUAAUGGAUCAGCACGAAUUUCUUCGGCAGUUGCAAGAAAAAAAGACUUGUAAUCUCUCUCACUCUCUCUCUCUCUCUCUGAUAGUUCCUUCUAUUACCCCAGUGAACAUAUUCCAACAUGAGUCUUCAUGAAACCUUUGAGCUUUUCAUUACAUCUUGGACCUUUCUUUUUUUACCUGUCCCCCCCCCCCCCUCCUUUUCAUUCCUGUUGUGGUUUUUGGGUUCUGGUGCUCAUUUAUUUGCAGCUUCAGGUCAAACCUAGUCAAUGCAUUCUAUAUUAUUUGAUUAGUUGUUUUUUGUUUUGAAAGGAUUAGUCUAUUUCUAUGAAAAUAAGAAACUAAUUAAGGAUCAUUUUUUUUAAUAUACAAAUUGUCCUGAAGCUGGUUUCCACUUUUUCAGUGUGCUGUUAUCAAAUUGCCGUCUCAGACACUAAUGCUAUCUGUUGCGGAAAAACCUUUCUGCUUGGUCGGAAUACUGUACCCAUGGGUAAGAUUGUUCUGUACUUAUGCCAGUUUAUUGCUGCUUUAUUCAAAGUAAAAUUUUAAUUUCCACCACCCUGAGCUCGUAGAGAUCCCCAACAUAGAUGUAAGCUGGGCACCUUCAAUAUCAAAAGCAACCUGCAAAAUGAAUAGUAAGCCUGUACUUGCGGGAAGAUUUUGUAGGCAUCUUCUAAUUGCCUGUGUAAGUUGCUUUGGAUGCUGAAGGUUCCAUGCAUAAAAUGCAAUUUUUAUUUGUAUUUUGUUCCACUUUAAAUGGGGAGGCCUAUGGGGUUCUCCAGAAUGAGGUUGUGGCACGGCAUUGUGACUUCGUCGUAAUUUCUUACUAAAGCCAAGUCUACCAUCGGUUCAGGAUUUGGUUAAGUUAGAGCCAGGUGAAGUUCUGAUGCCUCAACAUGUGCAACCACAGCUAAUAACAACAGCAGCCUCAGCUUCAACAAAUGCAGCAACAGCAGCCUCAGCUACCAUAGAUGCAGCAACAGCAACCGCAGCUACAGCAGCAACAAUUGCAACCACAGCUCCAGCAACACAGCUUCAGCAACAACAGCAACCACAACAAGGGUCUAAUAUGCCCGGAGGAUGCUUUAUGGGUUAGCAACAGUGUUGCUUGUUAGAAGUAGUAGUAGUAGACUGGCAUAAAACUUUAUCUAUCAAGUUCAGCAAACAUGCGCGCUGGUGUACAGUGCCUUGAGAACCUUUAAAGAAGACCAUGAUUCUAUAUGAUUUAUGCACAAACCAAGUGUUGACUACUACUGUAACAUCAACAUGUAAUAUUGUCCCAUGAAUCCAGCUAUGAUAAAGACUUUAACUCAUCUGGUGACAUGUUCAGUAUUGUUGAAGGCUCCAACUCUCCACUUAGCAGACGGUGGGAUAGCACUGCAUUGAGUGCUUGAUGCUCGUAUGUUGCUGUGCUUCCUUUGUGCCUGAAAUGCUUGUACAUUUAACUCUGUCAUGUUGUACGUUUAGGUUCUGGAAGGGUAGAGUCAUUGGCGAGGUCACCAUGACUAACAUAAUGAGUUAAUAUUACAAGGAGAUAUUAUUCAUUAUUGUAAGCACAAGAAUUUGGUGAAUUUGAUAAAUUGCAACAUAUUUCGAACGAUAAAAUAACAUUGUUCAAAUGACUUCUACAUGUUCGACAAAAAUCUGCAAGCACACUAGUCAACGGACUUGAUAUUAUUCAUUUCAACUCAAUCAACCUACAUAAUUAAAGGCUUCAUAGAACAAUUUCUUAACACAACAAAGAAAGGCUUCAUAGAAGAAGUUCUUAACACAACAAACAAAGGCUUCAUAGAAGAGGUUCUUAACUGAACCAUUAAAAACUAAGCAGCAUGAACCGGAAAUUGUCCAUGAAAGAAAAGAAAUUUAAACCAUUCCACAGGUACAGCUGAGAAAUUUCUUGUGCUAACAAUGUUCAAUACCACAAACAAGAAUAUGAUUCCCCAGCAGAUGGUUUCUUCUA